GAUGAACGCUGGCGGCGUGCUUAACACAUGCAAGUCGAACGGAAAGGCUCCUGCUUGCAGGGGUACUCGAGUGGCGAACGGGUGAGUAACACGUGGGUGAUCUGCCCUGCACUUUGGGAUAAGUCUGGGAAACUGGGUCUAAUACCGGAUAGGACGAUGGUUUGGAUGCCAUUGUGGAAAGUUUUUUCGGUGUGGGAUGAGCUCGCGGCCUAUCAGCUUGUUGGUGGGGUAAUGGCCUACCAAGGCGUCGACGGGUAGCCGGCCUGAGAGGGUGUACGGCCACAUUGGGACUGAGAUACGGCCCAGACUCCUACGGGAGGCAGCAGUGGGGAAUAUUGCACAAUGGGCGCAAGCCUGAUGCAGCGACGCCGCGUGGGGGAUGACGGCCUUCGGGUUGUAAACUCCUUUCGCUAGGGACGAAGCGCGAGUGACGGUACCUGGUGAAGAAGCACCGGCUAACUACGUG
RNAcentral lists this ribosomal RNA (466 nucleotides) under uncultured bacterium. RNAcentral's name for it is "partial 16S ribosomal RNA". It matches the Rfam family "Bacterial small subunit ribosomal RNA", at positions 28 to 507 of the family's 1533-position model. The record is from RNAcentral.